RNAcentral lists this ribosomal RNA (243 nucleotides) under uncultured bacterium. RNAcentral's name for it is "partial 16S ribosomal RNA". It matches the Rfam family "Bacterial small subunit ribosomal RNA", at positions 524 to 765 of the family's 1533-position model. The record is from RNAcentral.
GACGAACCGUGCGAACGUUGUUCGGAAUCACUGGGCUUAAAGGGCGCGUAGGCGGGCCAGCAAGUCAGGGGUGAAAUCCCACGGCUCAACCGUGGAAGAGCCUUUGAUACUGCGGGCCUCGAGGGAGGUAGGGGCGUGUGGAACUUCCGGGUGGAGCGGUGAAAUGCGUAGAUAUCGGAAGGAACAUCGGUGGCGAAAGCGGCGCGCUGGACCUCUUCUGACGCUGAGGCGCGAAAGCCAGGG